Lutra lutra (Eurasian river otter) is the source of this 664-nucleotide RNA transcript. It is a transcript of the gene named G antigen 10, with no coding region annotated. The record is from RefSeq and is a predicted model, not a curated record. The transcript has 7 exons. NCBI's taxonomy places the organism in Eukaryota, Metazoa, Chordata, Mammalia, Carnivora, Mustelidae.
UCUGAGAUUCAGUUGCGUGUGGUUUGUGUGGCGUGGUCUGAGUGCGGAGCUGUGCAGGUGGCGUCUUACCAUCCAGAUUCUUUCUUGGUUUCUGAAAUUCAGUUGAUAAUCCGCCAUCAGUGUGGGCAUCGUGUGGCGUGGUCUGAGUGUGGAGCUGUGCAGGUCGCGUCUUACCAUCUGGAUUCUUUCUUUGUUUCUGAGACUCCAUUGUAUUCUGUUUUCAGUGGGAACUAUGAAUUGGCAAGUGAGGUCAACAUUCAGACCUAGAGCAAGACGAAAUGAUGAAAAAUCUUUGCAGCUGGUUGGGCCUAUGGUUGCCCAGCAGCCUGACGCUGAGCCAAGUUAUGGCAAGGAGCCACCAACUGAGCGUCAGGAUAUUAUACCUGAUCAAGAGAAAAAAGAUGAAGGAGCAUCUGGGAUUCAAGGGCCAGCCCCGGAACCUAAUCAAAAGGAACCGGCUGGUGAGAAGACCCGGCGUGAGCGUGGAGAUGGUCCUGCUGUCAAAGGAAGGGGUCUUGCAAAUCUAGAGCCCCUGAAGAUGCCAGAGGCAGGCGAAUGGAAACCGAGGGUUUAAAUGAAGACAAGCUGAAGCCACAUGGGCAGUUCUGGUAUUGAAAAGUGGCUACAGUUCUCUCAUUAAAGUUCUGCAGUUUUGUCCAAAGAA